AUUGUCGUUAAUCUGUAGGUUGAUCAGCCAAUCAAAUUGAAGAAUAGAUAUGAUUGAUGGGACACAUUAUCCCAUUAACAAAUGUAUGUUUUAGCGCGUUUUUAGAUGUUCACUUAUAGGUUAUUUUACCCUGAAAGGUAUCUUGGAAAUAUUUGUAGUCACAUUUCGGUUAAAAUCAGGUUGCAUCAAUUACUAUUAAACACAAUAGCAUGAAGUGCACAAGACAGUGUAUCAAUACUAGCGCAAGUGUUUUUGAAGAGGUUGCACUUGAGAUCUCAUCCUCCUUUUAGACACAGAGGACACGGCUGUUUGAGAUAUUUCGCAGUCAUGUCUGAAGAUGGCAGGGGCAUAGCCUGGAUAGAAAUCAUCAGACAGUAGUCUAACUGCGGCUGAACGUUGAGUUAUGGGCCAACACCACGAGUGAAUCGAAUUUUAAUAAUGUGAAGAACCUUUCCUCACUUGUUAAAGAACCUUGUGUGCAAUGGAAAGUUUCCAUGUAUGUUAAAAGUUCUUUAUGGAAUCACAGAUGCCAAUAAAG
Long non-coding RNA from Carassius auratus (goldfish), 538 nucleotides. RefSeq lists it as uncharacterized. NCBI's taxonomy places the organism in Eukaryota, Metazoa, Chordata, Actinopteri, Cypriniformes, Cyprinidae. The record is from RefSeq and is a predicted model, not a curated record. The transcript has 3 exons.